UUGAGCAAUGAUGACGAAUGCUAUACCCAGCUCUAUGAGACCUUUCGUAGGCCAGGGAAUUGAUUUGUUGAACAUUUAUCUGAGCUUUCAU
Molecule: small nucleolar RNA, 91 nt
Organism: Ipomoea triloba (trilobed morning glory)
Lineage: Eukaryota; Viridiplantae; Streptophyta; Magnoliopsida; Solanales; Convolvulaceae
Source: RefSeq, a predicted model, not a curated record